CCAUUUAAAGUGGUACGCGAGCUGGGUUUAGAACGUCGUGAGACAGUUCGGUCCCUAUCUGCCGUGGGCGCUGGAGAACUGAGGGGGGCUGCUCCUAGUACGAGAGGACCGGAGUGGACGCAUCACUGGUGUUCGGGUUGUCAUGCCAAUGGCACUGCCCGGUAGCUAAAUGCGGAAGAGAUAAGUGCUGAAAGCAUCUAAGCACGAAACUUGCCCCGAGAUGAGUUCUCCCUGACUCCUUGAGAGUCCUGAAGGAACGUUGAAGACGACGACGUUGAUAGGCCGGGUGUGUAAGCGCAGCGAUGCGUUGAGCUAACCGGUACUAAUGAACCGUGAGGCUUAACCUU
Molecule: ribosomal RNA, 347 nt
Filed under: Escherichia coli
Lineage: Bacteria; Pseudomonadati; Pseudomonadota; Gammaproteobacteria; Enterobacterales; Enterobacteriaceae
Description: partial 23S ribosomal RNA
Rfam family: Bacterial large subunit ribosomal RNA
Source: RNAcentral